This 433-nucleotide ribosomal RNA is filed under the name uncultured bacterium. Its description in RNAcentral is "partial 16S ribosomal RNA". It matches the Rfam family "Bacterial small subunit ribosomal RNA", at positions 29 to 507 of the family's 1533-position model. The record is from RNAcentral.
AACGAACGCUGGCGGCAUGCCUAACACAUGCAAGUCGAACGAGACCUUCGGGUCUAGUGGCGCACGGGUGCGUUACGCGUGGGAACCUGCCCUUAGGCUCGGAAUAACUCCCCGAAAGGGGUGCUAAUACCGGAUAAUGUCUUCGGACCAAAGAUUUAUCGCCUUUGGAUGGGCCCGCGUUGGAUUAGCUAGUUGGUAGGGUAAAAGCCUACCAAGGCGACGAUCCAUAGCUGGUCUGAGAGGAUGAUCAGCCACACUGGGAAUGAGACACGGCCCAGACUCCUACGGGAGGCAGCAGUGGGGAAUAUUGGACAAUGGGCGAAAGCCUGAUCCAGCAAUGCCGCGUGAGUGAUGAAGGCCUUAGGGUUGUAAAGCUCUUUUACCCGGGAUGAUAAUGACAGUACCGGGAGAAUAAGCUCCGGCUAACUACGUG